AUGUUUAAAACACGGGUCAUACAAGGAAAUUUUGGUGUGGAGGUGUGGAUUUCACUAAUGCUUUACAUUAAAAACACCCAAACUACAAUGUGCACACUCAGCUGGACUAAGAUGAAGGUCUCAGGUGCUCACGUCUGGCUUCUCUUAUUGUUCCUGUUCCAAAGUGACAGAAACCAGGUUUCAGGCCAGUGUUCAGUACCCACAGCACUCUGCUGUCCUGGAGUGAAUAGCCAAUGCAACCGUGGUGGGUGUUUUUGUGAUGAGUUCUGCGUCACAAGCGGGGACUGCUGUGCUGACUACAAUCAGAUAUGCAUUCAGCCACAUUCGCCACCAUCCUUUAUAUCACCUUCAUCAACCACACUAUCAUAUUCACCGUUCUCAUCAACAUCCUUAUCAACCUCAAUAUCACCAACCUCACAACCUUUAUCUUCCUCAACAUCAGCCUCACCACCAUCUUCAUCCUCCCUACCUACAACCAACCAAUCACCAACAUCAUCACCAAUCUCACCACCAACUUCAUCCUCCUCACCUACAACCAACCAAUCACCAACAUCAUCACCAACCUCACAAACAUCUUCAUCAGUCUCACCAACAACCAACCAAUCAUCAUCACCACCACCAACCUCUGCAUCUUCAUCAACAUCCCAGCAGAGAAAAAACAUCAGUGCAAUCACAGUCUUCCACAUGCGUGUUCGCUCAGGAGCCAAUGAGGAAGCAAUGCUGAAGGCUGUGCAGGAUUUCAUUCUCCACCUCCAGGGCUUGAUGAGGAGACAGCAGUGUGAAGACUGCAGUCUACGAGUGCUAAACAUCAGCAAGAAACAUCGCUGAUUACAUCAAGUCAAAUAUAUUAGAAUUAUUGAGAAUCCACAGUUUUUCACUAAUUAAUCAUUAUUACCUGGUCUUCUUCCACGUGUUUGUUUAAUACUCCUGGUGUGGAAAUGGUGUCACUAGAUGGCACUAGAGGACCGAACCUGUAAUGGAAAUCAUAGAGGAUUGUCCAAUCACUGUCUAACCUUAAUUUUAAUUUUAAUAUAGAGCUGCUAUAAAUGUCGAUCAAUUUAGUAUAUUCUUAUUUAAAUUAGAUUUAUAUUAGCAAUAUAUAUUAGAAUGUAACGAAAAAAGGAAUCUUAGGAUGGUUGUAUCAUAAAUGUUGUUUCAAAAGAUAGGAAAGAUAGCAUAAUAAUACAAUAACUGCCUGUUUCUCAAAUAUUCUUAUUAGGAAUCUUUAUUUCCAUAGCGUAAAUGAAUUAUUCCACAACCAACUGAUUUCCCACAACAAAAAUGAGAGUUUUAAGAAUAGGCUACUUUUAUUGUCAUAGGCCUUUUUGAAUUCAAAGCUAAGUGUUGUAGUUGGUUGUUGUACAAUGUAUAAUAGUAGCAGCAUAUAUCAAUAUAUAUAAAUAUAUUGGACUUAAAUUUAAUUAUCAUUUGUUUAAUAAAACUUUGUGAAUGCCCUCUUAUUUUUUUUUU
Long non-coding RNA from Cyprinus carpio (common carp), 1470 nucleotides. The record is from Ensembl. Lineage: Eukaryota; Metazoa; Chordata; Actinopteri; Cypriniformes; Cyprinidae.